This 640-nucleotide long non-coding RNA is filed under the name Mustela putorius furo (domestic ferret). RNAcentral describes it as "lncRNA (ENSMPUG00000030936.1)". The record is from RNAcentral. Lineage: Eukaryota; Metazoa; Chordata; Mammalia; Carnivora; Mustelidae.
CACAUUACCUCAAUUUUAGAAUGUCCUUUGAAGAUGGAUUUGACAUCUCUUGAUUUUUUUUUUUUUUUUUGCUUUACUUUUUAUUAAGAAAUUUCAAACAUACACUUUUUAAAAAGAUCUUAUGUCGUGGCCGGUGCGACAAAUCCACCAGGAAACAUGAAGUCUGAAGGUAAUGAGAUGCCUAGCCGUGUACUGUCAAAAAGCCAGAACAGAGGAGCAAACAGAUGUUUAGAUGAAAGAAGAAAAGUUCCAGGAAUCUUCUGACCCCAAUCUAUACCAUCAGGCCACCUGAGCUAACAGAGCUCCCCUGCUAAGGUUUUGUAAUCCCGGGCUUUUGUAAGCAAUACCCCCUUUACAGAAGAGGAAGCUGUAGCUUAAAGGCCUUGCUUAUGGCUGCCCAGUGAGUGAAUAACAGUCAGAAAUAGAACUCAGACCUCAUGAUGUCAGAUUCAAUGUUCUUUCCACUUAACGAUGCCUAAAAAUACAAACAAAUAAAAAACUCCCCAAAGCAACUGAAACCUUAUCCACUUGCCUUAUGCCUCGGAAGCCUGGAGUUUAGUGAACCUGAUUUGUAAUUCUAGCUUUUUAUACACACAACACCUGAAUUUGUAACAGAUGGGUCCAUUUAUGGGUAUUUUGC